This is a long non-coding RNA of Cebus imitator (Panamanian white-faced capuchin), 134 nucleotides long. RefSeq lists it as uncharacterized. The transcript has 3 exons. The record is from RefSeq and is a predicted model, not a curated record. Lineage: Eukaryota; Metazoa; Chordata; Mammalia; Primates; Cebidae.
GAUUUCUUAAAAAAACGAUUUUGAAUUAUCUGUCUGAAAGAUCACCUAUCUCUGUAACUCUGGGAUUGGUCACUGGUGUCUUAUUUAGUUUGUUUGGUGACGUCAUGUUUUUCUGAAUGAUCUUGAUGCUUGUG